ACAUCGGUAGCACAGUGGUUAGUGCUGUGUGCCGGAAUCAGGAGGACGCGGGAUCAAUUCCCGUCCGAUGUU
This 72-nucleotide transfer RNA is filed under the name Nippostrongylus brasiliensis. It matches the Rfam family "tRNA". Rfam says of the family: Transfer RNA (tRNA) molecules are approximately 80 nucleotides in length. Their secondary structure includes four short double-helical elements and three loops (D, anti-codon, and T loops). Further hydrogen bonds mediate the characteristic L-shaped molecular structure. tRNAs have two regions of fundamental functional importance: the anti-codon, which is responsible for specific mRNA codon recognition, and the 3' end, to which the tRNAs corresponding amino acid is attached (by aminoacyl-tRNA synthetases). tRNAs cope with the degeneracy of the genetic code in two manners: having more than one tRNA (with a specific anti-codon) for a particular amino acid; and 'wobble' base-pairing, i.e. permitting non-standard base-pairing at the 3rd anti-codon position. Lineage: Eukaryota; Metazoa; Nematoda; Chromadorea; Rhabditida; Heligmosomidae. The record is from Rfam by way of RNAcentral.